UCGAGCGGAUGAAGGGAGCUUGCUCCUGGAUUCAGCGGCGGACGGGUGAGUAAUGCCUAGGAAUCUGCCUGGUAGUGGGGGAUAACGUCCGGAAACGGGCGCUAAUACCGCAUACGUCCUGAGGGAGAAAGUGGGGGAUCUUCGGACCUCACGCUAUCAGAUGAGCCUAGGUCGGAUUAGCUAGUUGGUGGGGUAAAGGCCUACCAAGGCGACGAUCCGUAACUGGUCUGAGAGGAUGAUCAACACACUGGAACUGAGACACAGUCCAGACUCCUACGGGAGGCAGCAGUGGGGAAUAUUGGACAAUGGGCGAAAGCCUGAUCCAGCCAUGCCGCGUGUGUGAAGAAGGUCUUCGGAUUGUAAAGCACUUUAAGUUGGGAGGAAGGGCAGUAAGUUAAUACCUUGCUGUUUUGACGUUACCAACAGAAUAAGCACCGGCUAACUUCGUGCCAGCAGCCGCGGUAAUACGAAGGGUGCAAGCGUUAAUCGGAAUUACUGGGCGUAAAGCGCGCGUAGGUGGUUCAGCAAGUUGGAUGUGAAAUCCCCGGGCUCAACCUGGGAACUGCAUCCAAAACUACUGAGCUAGAGUACGGUAGAGGGUGGUGGAAUUUCCUGUGUAGCGGUGAAAUGCGUAGAUAUAGGAAGGAACACCAGUGGCGAAGGCGACCACCUGGACUGAUACUGACACUGAGGUGCGAAAGCGUGGGGAGCAAACAGGAUUAGAUACCCUGGUAGUCCACGCCGUAAACGAUGUCGACUAGCCGUUGGGAUCCUUGAGAUCUUAGUGGCGCAGCUAACGCGAUA
This 804-nucleotide ribosomal RNA is filed under the name Pseudomonas sp. CS8. Its description in RNAcentral is "bacterial SSU rRNA". It matches the Rfam family "Bacterial small subunit ribosomal RNA", at positions 62 to 862 of the family's 1533-position model. The record is from RNAcentral. Lineage: Bacteria; Pseudomonadati; Pseudomonadota; Gammaproteobacteria; Pseudomonadales; Pseudomonadaceae.